CUCCAGGGUUUGAUAAGAAUCAUGAAGAACCUUUGUCCUGCUUUGUCUUCUCUGACCCCUUUUGUACUGAUACCUGCUAUAGAGCUAAGUCUAGGGAAAACUGUUAGACCGAAGAAAGCAUAUGAACAUUUCUGUUAAUCCUAGCAAAAUUCCACUGAAACAAACCUAACUGGCCAUGGUGGUGCUGACCUGUAAUCUCAGCACUUGGAGACCAGAGAUAGAAAGAACAUGAAUUCAAGUCCAGUUUGGGCUAUAUAGUAAUUUCAAAGCCAGGCGGGACUACUGUGUGAGAAUCUAUCUCACAACACACAGAUAUAAUUGUAACUCCUAUUAGAGAAUGUAAGUGAAUGAAAAUGGGCCCCCUGGAUUAAGAUUUAUAAUACUUGAACUCUAGUUGGUUUGGGGAGGCUGAAGAAGUGUGGCCAUGAUGCAGGAAGCAUGUCACUAGGGGUGGUCUUUGAAGUUUCAGAAGAUUAAUGGAAUUUCAAGAUAGCACUCUGUUUCCUGUUUGUGGGUUGAGAUACGAGACCUCAGCUGUUGUUUCAGCACCAUGCCUGCUUGCUGCCAUGCCCCCCACCAUGAUGGUGAUGGACUCUUAUCUCUUUAGAUCCUAAGCCCCAAUUCUAUAAAUUGCCUUGACCAUUUACUCACAGUAAUAGAAAAGCGACUAAGACAAAGAGUAUAUUUAACAAGCUGGUUACAUAGGCCAGUAUAACAGCACUUGGCAAGCUGAGGCAGGAGGAUCAUGAGUUCAAGACCAGUCUGUUUUUUAUAAAGAGACCGUAAGAGAUAGCACAAAUAGGACAAUGUUGCCAAGUGUGGUGAUUUGAUGAGAAUGACCCUAGUAGACACAUAUGUUUGAAUACUUGGUCUCCAGCUGGUGGAACUGUUUGGGAAGGAUUAGGAGGUUUGGUCUUGUUGGAGGCAGAAUGUCAUGAUAGUGGGCUUUGAGGCUUCAAAAGCUUCCCAACACCUCCAGGACUCUUUGUUUCGUACUCAAGAUAUGAGCUGUCAUCUAUUGCUGACACCAUUCCUUCACUUCAUCAUCAUGGACUCUGGAAACUUAAGCCCAGUUAAUACCUUCUUUGGAGAAGAAAAACUUUGGAUAUCAUCAAAAUUGAUCAAGAUUCGAGUUGAAAAAGACAACCCUCUCGACAAGGACGACUGACAGCCAAUGAACACCUGCCUGACGAGAAUCCCUGGAUGCUCUGGGAAAGGAAUUGGGCCAUACCUCUUGGACUGCACUGGAUCCAACUUACUCUGUUUCAACUGACAUUCCGACCAGAGCUUUGAGUACUGACUUCAAUCAAGUUGAGGAUUUCAACCUAGAUCUUCAAUCAAGCAAAUCCCAUCUAACAUGGACUGGAGAUAACCCAUU
RNAcentral lists this long non-coding RNA (1378 nucleotides) under Cricetulus griseus (Chinese hamster). Its description in RNAcentral is "lncRNA (ENSCGRG00015042931.1)". The record is from RNAcentral. Lineage: Eukaryota; Metazoa; Chordata; Mammalia; Rodentia; Cricetidae.